This 467-nucleotide ribosomal RNA is filed under the name uncultured bacterium. Its description in RNAcentral is "partial 16S ribosomal RNA". It matches the Rfam family "Bacterial small subunit ribosomal RNA", at positions 28 to 506 of the family's 1533-position model. The record is from RNAcentral.
GACGAACGCUGGCGGCGUGCUUAACACAUGCAAGUCGAACGGAAAGGCCCUGCUUUUGUGGGGUGCUCGAGUGGCGAACGGGUGAGUAACACGUGAGUAACCUGCCCUUAACUUUGGGAUAACUUCAGGAAACUGGGGCUAAUACCGGAUAGGAGCUCCUGCUGCAUGGUGGGGGUUGGAAAGUUUCGGCGGUUGGGGAUGGACUCGCGGCUUAUCAGCUUGUUGGUGGGGUAGUGGCUUACCAAGGCUUUGACGGGUAGCCGGCCUGAGAGGGUGACCGGCCACAGUGGGACUGAGAUACGGCCCAGACUCCUACGGGAGGCAGCAGUGGGGAAUAUUGCACAAUGGGCGGAAGCCUGAUGCAGCAACGCCGCGUGCGGGAUGACGGCCUUCGGGUUGUAAACCGCUUUCGCCUGUGACGAAGCGUGAGUGACGGUAAUGGGUAAAGAAGCACCGGCUAACUACGU